UGCCUCACGGCAGGCGGCCCUGGACUGCGC
This 30-nucleotide small RNA is filed under the name Bombyx mori (domestic silkworm). Its description in RNAcentral is "ovarian small RNA-33838". The record is from RNAcentral. Lineage: Eukaryota; Metazoa; Arthropoda; Insecta; Lepidoptera; Bombycidae.